Molecule: ribosomal RNA, 205 nt
Filed under: uncultured bacterium
Lineage: Bacteria
Description: partial 16S ribosomal RNA
Rfam family: Bacterial small subunit ribosomal RNA
Source: RNAcentral
CGCGUAGGCGGCCAGCCUGGUCGGGAGUCAAAUCCGGGGGCUCAACCCCCGUCCGCUCCCGAUACCGGCCGGCUUGAGUCUGGCAGGGAAGGCGGAAUUCCCGGUGUAACGGUGGAAUGUGUAGAUAUCGGGAAGAACACCAAUGGCGAAGGCAGGUCUCUGGGCCGUUACUGACGCUGAGGAGCGAAAGCGUGGGGAGCAAACA